GUGGGGAAUCUUGCGCAAUGGGCGAAAGCCUGACGCAGCCAUGCCGCGUGAAUGAUGAAGGUCUUAGGAUUGUAAAAUUCUUUCACCGGGGACGAUAAUGACGGUACCCGGAGAAGAAGCUCCGGCUAACUUCGUGUCAGCAGCCGCGGUAAUACGAAGGGGGCUAGCGUUGCUCGGAAUUACUGGGCGUAAAGGGCGCGUAGGCGGACAGCUUAGUCAGAGGUGAAAGCCCAGGGCUCAACCUUGGAAUUGCCUUUGAUACUGGCUAUCUUGAGUAUGGAAGAGGUGAGUGGAACUCCGAGUGUAGAGGUGAAAUUCGUAGAUAUUCGGAAGAACACCAGUGGCGAAGGCGACUCACUGGCCCAAUACUGACGCUGAGGCGCGAAAGCGUGGGGAGCAAACAGGAUUAGAAACCCUAGUAGUCC
RNAcentral lists this ribosomal RNA (425 nucleotides) under uncultured bacterium. RNAcentral describes it as "partial 16S ribosomal RNA". It matches the Rfam family "Bacterial small subunit ribosomal RNA", at positions 354 to 796 of the family's 1533-position model. The record is from RNAcentral.